This 407-nucleotide ribosomal RNA is filed under the name uncultured bacterium. RNAcentral describes it as "bacterial SSU rRNA". It matches the Rfam family "Bacterial small subunit ribosomal RNA", at positions 509 to 916 of the family's 1533-position model. The record is from RNAcentral.
CAGCAGCCGCGGUAAUACGUAGGGUGCGAGCGUUAAUCGGAAUUACUGAGCGUAAAGCGUGCGCAGGCGGUUCGCUAAGUCUGAUGUGAAAGCCCCGGGCUCAACCUGGGAACUGCAUUGGAAACUGGCGAGCUUGAGUGUGGCAGAGGGGGGUGGAAUUCCACGUGUAGCAGUGAAAUGCGUAGAGAUGUGGAGGAACACCGAUGGCGAAGGCAGCCCCCUGGGCUAACACUGACGCUCAGGCACGAAAGCGUGGGGAGCAAACAGGAUUAGAUACCCUGGUAGUCCACGCCCUAAACUAUGUCAACUGGGUGUUGGGGAAGCGAUUCCUCAGUACCGUAGCUAACGCGUGAAGUUGACCGCCUGGGGAGUACGGCCGCAAGGUUAAAACUCAAAGGAAUUGACGG